This 107-nucleotide non-coding RNA is filed under the name Gloeochaete wittrockiana. The record is from RNAcentral. Lineage: Eukaryota; Glaucocystophyceae; Gloeochaetales; Gloeochaetaceae.
ACCUUUGCCAUCAACGCUCCUUGCUCUUCUCAGCUCUGGUCUCGCACUCUGACCAAGUACUCCCCCCUCUGCUUCGACGCCUCUCUCCAGAGCGCUUUCUUGUCACA